GCCUGGGUGGCACAGCGGUUGAGCGUCUGCCUUUGGCUCAGGGCGUGAUCCCAGCGUUGUGGGAUCGAGCCCCACAUCAGGCU
Molecule: non-coding RNA, 83 nt
Organism: Ailuropoda melanoleuca (giant panda)
Lineage: Eukaryota; Metazoa; Chordata; Mammalia; Carnivora; Ursidae
Source: Rfam